Molecule: non-coding RNA, 399 nt
Organism: Biomphalaria pfeifferi
Lineage: Eukaryota; Metazoa; Mollusca; Gastropoda; Planorbidae
Source: the annotation of a GenBank genome assembly
AAAAAUCUAUUAAUUUUAUUAAAGAGAGUACAUCACUAUAAUUGCAGAAUAGUUUACAAUAUAAGACAAUUAAUAUGUGUAUAUAAAAUAGAGUUCUAAUGAAAUACCAAGAAAGAAACAUUUAAAACAUGCUGCCAGUAUGGAAUGAUUAUAGAAGGAAUUUUACUUUGUGUCCGAUAUUGACAUUUUAAUAUAAACUCUGUGAGGAAAUAUAUAGGCCCCAACAUAAGACACAUCUACAUUUCUCACUCUAGUUUAUCUCAAUCCAAUUGUUUUUAUGGAAGUGGUCACCAUGGAGAAAUGUCUUUAAAGUUCAUUCUCUCAAGCAUCCAAUGAGGCUGUUCCACACUUGUCCCCCACUUAUUACGCACCUGUCCCACACAUAGUCCGCUCAUGGCC